This is a non-coding RNA of Pelobates cultripes (western spadefoot toad), 232 nucleotides long. Lineage: Eukaryota; Metazoa; Chordata; Amphibia; Anura; Pelobatidae. The record is from the annotation of a GenBank genome assembly.
CCAGGGUAGAUGCAGCCUUUUCCCCCACACAUGAGACAAGGCUCUAUGUUGAGGGUAAAACAGGAACUCUUUAAUGCAAAGCAAGCACUUACAAUUUAUACACACAUUUAAACCCCCAACAGCCUCAUUACAUACAAUAGGUUACAUAGAGCACUAUAGUACAAGGAAGGGGGGGGUCAGACAAUAGGGAGAUUGAGUAGGGACAAAGCAGCCAGUUUAAACUGGUCUGGCA